This 286-nucleotide unclassified non-coding RNA is filed under the name uncultured fungus. Its description in RNAcentral is "partial contains 5.8S rRNA and ITS2". The stretch from base 1 to 52 matches the Rfam family "5.8S ribosomal RNA", at positions 103 to 154 of the family's 154-position model. Lineage: Eukaryota; Fungi. The record is from RNAcentral.
AACGCACCUUGCGCUCCUUGGUAUUCCGAGGAGCAUGCCUGUUUGAGUGUCAUUAAAUUCUCAAACCUCUUGUUGGUUUUAUAUCGACGGAGAGGCUUUGGAUGUGGGAGUCCUUGCUGGCUUGUUCAGCUCUCCUUAAAUACAUCAGUGGUUUCUAACCCUAUCUUGGUGUUGAUAGUCUAUCUACGCCUCGAAUAUCUGGGUUAAGUGUAACCGCUUUCUAACUGUCUUCGGACAACAUUGACUAUUUGACCUCAAAUCAGGUAGGACUACCCGCUGAACUUAA